GGUCCAUAGCUUAGUGGUAGAGUGAGUGCCUUGCAUGCAGAAAGUGCCAGGUUCAAUCCCUGACAUCUCCA
Molecule: non-coding RNA, 71 nt
Organism: Podarcis lilfordi (Lilford's wall lizard)
Lineage: Eukaryota; Metazoa; Chordata; Lepidosauria; Squamata; Lacertidae
Source: the annotation of a GenBank genome assembly